UAGGGAAUCUUCCACAAUGGACGAAAGUCUGAUGGAGCAACGCCGCGUGAGUGAAGAAGGUUUUCGGAUCGUAAAGCUCUGUUGUUGGUGAAGAAGGAUAGAGGCAGUAACUGGUCUUUAUUUGACGGUAAUCAACCAGAAAGUCACGGCUAACUACGUGACAG
This 164-nucleotide ribosomal RNA is filed under the name uncultured bacterium. RNAcentral's name for it is "partial 16S rRNA". It matches the Rfam family "Bacterial small subunit ribosomal RNA", at positions 355 to 511 of the family's 1533-position model. The record is from RNAcentral.